ACGCUCUUAGUUCAGCAUGGUAGAACGCGAGUCUCCAAAACUCGAUGUCGUAGGUUCAAGUCCUACAGGGCGUG
RNAcentral lists this transfer RNA (74 nucleotides) under Actinostachys pennula. RNAcentral's name for it is "tRNA-Trp". It matches the Rfam family "tRNA". From Rfam's summary of the family: Transfer RNA (tRNA) molecules are approximately 80 nucleotides in length. The record is from RNAcentral. Lineage: Eukaryota; Viridiplantae; Streptophyta; Polypodiopsida; Schizaeales; Schizaeaceae.